Molecule: transfer-messenger RNA, 373 nt
Filed under: Actinoallomurus iriomotensis
Lineage: Bacteria; Bacillati; Actinomycetota; Actinomycetes; Streptosporangiales; Thermomonosporaceae
Rfam family: transfer-messenger RNA
About the family: Bacterial tmRNA, also known as 10Sa RNA or SsrA, is named for its dual tRNA and mRNA-like properties. Its role is to liberate the mRNA from a stalled ribosome.
Source: RNAcentral
GGGGGUGAUCGGUUUCGACUUCGGUAUGUCGAGACAUGGGGAAGCGGGCCGAGGGUUGCGGUUGUGACCUCGUAAAUCCUGUAACCGCAAAACAACAAGUGCCAACUCUAAGCGCACUCAGUUCGCCCUCGCCGCCUGAGGCUAGGUAGCGAACUUGUCAGCCCGAGAGCGUCUCCGACUCGGGACCUGGCAUCGUAAGGAGACUCAACCUGUAGUCCCGGCCGCGGGAACAACAGGGAAACCAAACAGCGGCUGAGCCUGUCGGCGACACGCCUGCGUGAGCGCCGGGGCUGAGAAAACGCCAAGCAGGCUGCGCCCGGAGAAGCCCUGUCUUGGUACCGAAGGACGCGGGUUCGAUUCCCGCCACCUCCAC